GAUUGACAAACUGCGAACGGCUCAUUAAAACAGUCCCUUAAUGCUUUGAAGGGCAAAUUCUACACGGAUAACCGUGGGAAACCAAGGCUAAUACGUGCGUACGAUCCUUUCGGGUCAGCGUUUAUUAGAUAAAGAACCAACAUUUUGGUGCUUCAUGGUAACCAUUCGAAUCGCGGCUCGCUGCGAUGGUUCAUUCAAGUUUCUGACCUAUCAGCUCUCGACGGUCGGGUAGUGGCCCACCGUGGCUUUGACGGGUGACGGGGAAUUGGGGUUCGAUUCCGGAGAGGGAGCCUGAGAAACGGCUACCACGUCUAAGGAUGGCAGCAGGCGCGUAAAUUACCCAAUCCCGACUUGGGGAGGUAGUGACAAGAAAUAUCAACUCGAGGCAUAUGUCUUGUGAUUGCAAUGAGUAGAAUCUAAACGGUUCUACGAUUAACAAUUAGAGGGCAAGUCUGGUGCCAGCAAGCCCGCGGUAAUUCCAGCUCUAAUAGCGUAUAUUAAAUUUGUUGUCAUUUAAACGCUCGUA
RNAcentral lists this ribosomal RNA (526 nucleotides) under uncultured eukaryote. RNAcentral's name for it is "bacterial SSU rRNA". It matches the Rfam family "Eukaryotic small subunit ribosomal RNA", at positions 77 to 632 of the family's 1831-position model. The record is from RNAcentral.